AAUCAACGCUGGCGGCGUGCCUAACACAUGCAAGUCGAACGCGAAAGCCCCUUCGGGGGCAAGUAGAGUGGCGUCCGGGUGAGUAACACGUGGGUAAUCUACCUCCGGGUGGGGAAUAACUCGCCGAAAGGCGGGCUAAUACCGCAUAAUGCAGCGGCACCGAAUGGUGAUUAGUUGUUAAAGCGGGGGACCUUAGGCCUCGCGUCUGGAGAGGAGCCUGCGGCAGAUUAGCUUGNGGGUUAGGGUAAUGGCCUACCAAGGCUGCGAUCUGUAGCUGGUCUGAGAGGACGGCCAGCCACACUGGCACUGACACACGGGCCAGACUCCUACGGGAGGCAGCAGUGGGGAAUUUUGGGCAAUGGGCGAAAGCCUGACCAGCAACGCCGCGUGAAGGAGGAAAUCCUUCGGGAUGUAAACUUCACAAGCAAGGGAAGAGCGCGCAGGGUCGAAUAAACUCUGCGUCCGACGGUACCUUGCGUAAGCCACGGCUAACUACGUGCCAGCCGCC
This 508-nucleotide ribosomal RNA is filed under the name uncultured bacterium. Its description in RNAcentral is "bacterial SSU rRNA". It matches the Rfam family "Bacterial small subunit ribosomal RNA", at positions 32 to 516 of the family's 1533-position model. The record is from RNAcentral.